This 1786-nucleotide long non-coding RNA is filed under the name Hermetia illucens (black soldier fly). Its description in RNAcentral is "uncharacterized LOC119651239". Lineage: Eukaryota; Metazoa; Arthropoda; Insecta; Diptera; Stratiomyidae. The record is from RNAcentral.
CGGAAAUUAUUGCGUUUUACGUACGUACUUUGGUCGUUGCGUUGAAGUGCACGAGAAUAUCAACCAGAACUUGAAGCAGACCCUCUCCGGACAUUGAGUCGAAGGAUAUUAAAUUAUAUUCGUGUAGUUUGUGCCAGUUUGCAGCGUCACUUUUCAACAAUCGAAAUCAAUAAAAAUCCUUUUUCCACAAGAAAAACUUAAAAUUUUGUUUCGGGUGAAAGGAUGUGAUUUUAUCUACGUGCGAACAUCAAAUUGUUAAACUUUGGAACGGAAGUAACCACUUAAAUAAUGGCAACGACUAAAAUAUAAUCAAACUCGCUUCAUAAUGACAAAAAGAAACAUUUUAAAUGGCAUUCCAUCUAGAAAUACAUCGAAUUUUACUGCAGUAUCCAUCUUUGUAAUUAAUAUUCCUUUUAGGAAUAUGCAAAUUCCUAAAAAUGCAUUUGUUACUUUUGAUAAAAUGCAAACCGCGCAUAAAAUUAAAUAAUUAAAAAUGGAAUAAAAAACAAUGGAUUUAGGGCUUUGCGUACAUGGAGUAUAAUAUGGAUUCCUGAAAAGGGAACAACUUGUGUUAGCAAUACAUUUGUGGUAACCAUGUUCAUCCGGAUAUUUUCUAAAGAUCCUUAUUUCCUCGAUAUUUCCACAACAUACAUUUUUCUAUAAUAGUAUUUGUACGUUUCUAUACACCUCACAAAUUUUCCAAAUGUUACAAGCAGAGUUUUUUGGAUUAUUAGGCACGAUAUUAGUUUCCUGCUGCUUGAGUUUACAUGAAAAGAUAUGAAAGGAAACCCAAGGUUUAUAUGUUUGAGUAGUAUAUGAGAUUUUAAUGAACACGUGGAGAAAGUAUUCAUCACGUGAAUGUUUAUGUUUAGCAAUCCGGUGCAAUCAAUUCCUUUCCGUGCUACCUUUUGGCAUUCUUAAACAGAACUAUCCACGAGCGGUAGAUACUAAAACAAUGGAUUUAAAAAUGAACUUACAACUAGUAAUUAUGUAAAAAAGAUAUUGCUUCUUUUUUAUUCACUAAAAAAAUCCUUUUUUUAUUUAAUAAAAAAAUGUUUGAUUUUUCCUAGAAAAUGAAGAUAUAUUUUUGAAAUGUAAGUUGAUGUCUUAGAUAAUUUCUCUACUAAUUUAAGUUAAUAUGGUUUUCUGCUCUCUGGGUUCACUUCUCCCGCCUUGGAUUUAAUUUGGAGCUGGCUGGAUUAUAAUUAACAAAAAUAACAAUAAUAAAAUAAUGAAAUAUACAUCGUGGUGUAGGUGAGUGAGUGAGUAUGGUGAGUGAAGUUAACACUUUCCAUUUAACGGAGGAUCCAAAUUAUAGAGUUGUUUAAGGAUUGGUGGCGUUCGUCGCUAGUAUAUCAAUUUGGACAGGUGUCAAUUUUUAUACCAGGGAAAAAGUGUUCUAGAGGAGAGGCUGCUAUUGAUGGUGUUACAAACAUGAAGCAAAGAUGUACCACCACUACAUUUAUUACAAAUUCGUAAAUAGAGAUGAUAUUCUAACCAUGAGAGUAUCGUGAUAAAAAAUUGUUGCGAUACCGGCAGAUAUACUACAUUAGACGGGAAAUUUCGGCAUCUGAAAGCACUAUGCAAAUACAAGCCCAGAGGAAUGCAAAAAUUCCUACGGAAUUAAAAACCUACAUUCAAAAAAGAGCAAUAUGUAAUACAAAAGGAAAUCCUGGGAACUAGAAGACAGAAAAGGAAGCCUUGAGUCUCUGAUGAAGCAUAGCUUUAAAGGGAAACAAUGCCUUUUUCGUGAAACAUAGAAACAGAUAACCAAAUGGACUGGGCU